This is a long non-coding RNA of Penaeus monodon (black tiger shrimp), 462 nucleotides long. RefSeq lists it as uncharacterized. The record is from RefSeq and is a predicted model, not a curated record. The transcript is spliced from 2 exons. NCBI's taxonomy places the organism in Eukaryota, Metazoa, Arthropoda, Malacostraca, Decapoda, Penaeidae.
GGUCUCACGACUGUCCUCGCGCAAGCACCCUCCCGCGGCCUGUCCUGUUGUCCGACAGCCUCGACCUGUGUGUUGGAAGGUGGUGCCGAGGGGCAGCCCAAGACCCAGGCAGGAAGGGCGCUUCGACAGACGCUGGCUGUUUACUUCCAAAGAUGGUUUAUCAGUGCUUCCGUAAAACAUCUUGAGUCAGGGUCCGACAGACAGUAACUCCUCGUCUGCUACUACAAGAGAUGCUAUGUGGUUAUAGAAAUAUAUAAAUAACCGAGAGCUAUUCAUUCUACGGUGUGUUUUUUCUCUGCAAUAUGGGUAAAUAACCUACACACGCAAGCGGAUGUAGUAUGCACUUGAAAGCAGCAUCGUUUAGCAGAACAUAACGUCAGAAAUUAAUCACUAUUCCAUCUUUAAGAUCUCACACUAGAUGGAGCUCAAAAAACCCUGUACAUGAACCCUCUUUUUAUUCCG